CCUACGGGAGGCUGCAGUGAGGAAUAUUGGUCAAUGGGCGGGAGCCUGAACCAGCCAAGUCGCGUGAGGGAUGACGGCCCUAUGGGUUGUAAACCUCUUUUGCCGGGGAGUAAAGCGCCGCACGUGUGCGGUUUGGAGAGUACCCUGAGAAAAAGCAUCGGCUAACUCCGUGCCAUCAGCCGCGGUAAUACGGAGGAUGCGAGCGUUAUCCGGAUUUGUUGGGUUAAAGGGGUGCGUAGGCGGACGCUUCAGUUAGCGGGAAAAUUGCGGUGCUCAACCCCGUCGAGCCGUUGAAACUGGGUGCCGUGAGUGGGCGAGAAGUACGCGGAAUGCGUGGUGUAGCGGUGAAAUGCAUAGAUAUCACGCAGAACUCCGAUUGCGAAGGCAGCGUACCGGCGCCCAACUGACGCUGAAGCACGAAGGCGUGGGUAUCGAACAGGAUUAGAUACCCCUGUAGUC
This 459-nucleotide ribosomal RNA is filed under the name uncultured bacterium. RNAcentral's name for it is "partial 16S ribosomal RNA". It matches the Rfam family "Bacterial small subunit ribosomal RNA", at positions 338 to 795 of the family's 1533-position model. The record is from RNAcentral.